ACRUSUUUCCUGAGAAACCCGAAAGGUCGAAGGAAGAAAUUCAUUCGCGUUUCGACGACGGCGUCGAGCGGUCGAGCGACGCGGGACGCCGACGACUUCGCGUUCCCGCGCGCCUUCCGUUCGUCGAACCGACGACGAACGCGUGCACUUUUCUUCUGGUAGGACGUCGCGAUCCGUUGGGCGUCAGUCUACGACGAGCGGUGGAGCCCGUCGGUCGCGUUUCGGCGCGACUAACGGACCCGCACGUUCCGGCUGACUCGCUCGACGGUAUACGAAUGGUUUGGGGCCGCUCUCUUUAUCGAGCGUUCGACUCUCGGCAAGCGCGCCAGACGCGUCGGCGAUCGGACCURGCGCCGAUUCCGGCCUCUGGUGACUGUUGGCCGUUGAAGUUCUCGAACAGACCUCUCACGACCCGAUCUGCGACGCUAUAGCUUUGGGUACUUUCAGGACCCGUUCUUGAAACACGGACCAAGGAGUCUAGCAUGUGCGCGAGUCAUUGGGAAUCACUAAACCUAAAGGCGUAAUGAAAGUGAAGGUCUUCCUUGCGGAGACCGAGGGAAGACGGGCGGCGUCGCCUUUAAAAGCGGCCGUUCAGCAUUCCCGGGGCGUCUCGUUCUCAUUGCGAGAAGAGGCGCACCAAGAGCGUACACGCUGGGACCCGAAAGAUGGUGAACUAUGCCUGGUCAGGACGAAGUCAGGGGAAACCCUGAUGGAGGUCCGUAGCGAUUCUGACGUGCAAAUCGAUCGUCGGAACUGGGUAUAGGGGCGAAAGACUAAUCGARCASAUCCRWGAACHACU
Molecule: ribosomal RNA, 799 nt
Filed under: Ips knausi
Lineage: Eukaryota; Metazoa; Arthropoda; Insecta; Coleoptera; Curculionidae
Description: LSU rRNA
Rfam family: Eukaryotic large subunit ribosomal RNA
Source: RNAcentral